GAUGUACGCUGGCCGCUUUCCUAGUACAUGCUACUCGUGUGAAGCUACUAGAAGCUUGCUUUUCUGAUUUUUGCGUCGAACGGGUGAUUAACACGUGGCUAACCUACCUAUAAGACUCGGAUAACUUCGUGGAACCGGAGCUAGUACCGGAUAAUGUUUUGAACCGCAUGGUUCUAAAGUGAAAUACGGUCUUGCUAUCACUUAUAUAUGGAUCCGCGCUGCAUUAGCUAGUUGGUAAGGUAACGGCUUACCAAGGCAACGAUGCAUAGCCGACCUGAGAGGGUGAUCGGCAACACUGGAACUGAGACACGGUCCAGACUCCUACGGGAGGCAGCACUAGGGAAUCUUACGCAAUGGGCGAAAGCCCGACGGAGCAACGCCGCGUGAGUGCUGAACCUUUUAGGAUCCUAAAACUCUGUUAUAAGGGAAGAACAUAUCUGUAAGUAACUGUGCCAAUCUUGAGGAUACCUAAUCAGAGAGCUACGGCUAACUACGUG
Molecule: ribosomal RNA, 497 nt
Filed under: uncultured bacterium
Lineage: Bacteria
Description: partial 16S ribosomal RNA
Rfam family: Bacterial small subunit ribosomal RNA
Source: RNAcentral